Molecule: non-coding RNA, 246 nt
Filed under: Bacillus sp. (in: firmicutes)
Lineage: Bacteria; Bacillati; Bacillota; Bacilli; Caryophanales; Bacillaceae
Description: Bacillus sp. T-box sequence
Rfam family: T-box leader
About the family: Uncharged tRNA acts as the effector for transcription antitermination of genes in the T-box leader family. T-boxes are found upstream of many aminoacyl-tRNA synthetase genes and some amino acid biosynthetic genes usually in Gram-positive bacteria. The anticodon of a specific tRNA base pairs to a specifier sequence within the T-box motif, and the NCCA acceptor tail of the tRNA base pairs to a conserved bulge in the T-box antiterminator hairpin.
Source: RNAcentral
AUAAAUGCAAAGAAGAGGAUUAGUAAGAUGAACAGUUGUGUCUAGAGAGCUGCUGGUUAGGUGAAAAGCAGUCACAAUGUAGUCUGAACUCGCCUUGAAGUAGCUUUACUGAACCUUUAGUAAGUAAAGUCGGAAUCCUAAACGUUAUAUUAGGCUAUGUGAGAAUUUAUUCUUAUGUGAUUGAGUGCAUACUUUUUGUAUGAACAAGAGUGGUACCGCGAAGAUUUCAAGUCUUUCGUCUCUUAA